AUUUAGAUAGUUUAUGUUAUAAAAUUUAAUAUUGAAGCUAUUAAGAAAAUUUAUAUUUCUAAAUA
This 65-nucleotide transfer RNA is filed under the name Ogcodes sp. LRC-2002. Its description in RNAcentral is "tRNA-Phe". The record is from RNAcentral. Lineage: Eukaryota; Metazoa; Arthropoda; Insecta; Diptera; Acroceridae.